AGAGUUUGAUCAUGGCUCAGAUUGAACGCUGGCGGCAGGCCUAACACAUGCAAGUCGCACGCGAAAGUUCUUCGGAAUGAGUAGAGUGGCGGACGGGUGAGUAACGCGUAGGAAUCCGUCCUGUAGUGGGGGAUAACCCGGGGAAACUCGGGCUAAUACCGCAUACGCCCCACGGGGGAAAGCGGGGGAUCUUCGGACCUCGUGCUAGAGGAGGAGCCUGCGUCGGAUUAGCUAGUUGGUAGGGUAAAGGCCUACCAAGGCGACGAUCCGUAGCUGGUCUGAGAGGAUGAUCAGCCACACCGGAACUGAGACACGGUCCGGACUCCUACGGGAGGCAGCAGUGGGGAAUAUUGCGCAAUGGGCGAAAGCCUGACGCAGCCAUGCCGCGUGUGUGAAGAAGGCCUUCGGGUUGUAAAGCACUUUCAGUGGGGAGGAAAGGGCGCUGGCGAAUACCCAGCGCAGUUGACGCUACCCACAGAAGAAGCACCGGCUAAUUCCGUGCCAGCAGCCGCGGUAAUACGGAAGGUGCGAGCGUUAAUCGGAAUUACUGGGCGUAAAGCGCGCGUAGGCGGCUUGGUAAGUCGGGUGUGAAAGCCCCGGGCUCAACCUGGGAACGGCACUCGAUACUGCUGAGCUGGAGUACGAGAGAGGGGGGUGGAAUUCCAGGUGUAGCGGUGAAAUGCGUAGAGAUCUGGAGGAACACCGGUGGCGAAGGCGGCCCCCUGGUUCGAUACUGACGCUCAUGUGCGAAAGCGUGGGGAGCAAACAGGAUUAGAUACCCCCGUAGUCC
RNAcentral lists this ribosomal RNA (790 nucleotides) under uncultured bacterium. RNAcentral's name for it is "bacterial SSU rRNA". It matches the Rfam family "Bacterial small subunit ribosomal RNA", at positions 8 to 796 of the family's 1533-position model. The record is from RNAcentral.